CUAAUAGAUUCCUCAUAUUUUAGAAUAUUCCUUCGUUGCUUGGAGUUUUCUAUAGUCCAAAGAUACUUGAGAUAGUCUUGCCUAAAAUUAGAGAGUUUAGAAGUGACUUUUAGAGAGCUUCUAACUUGCACAUGUCGCUUUCAAGUGCAAAUAGGUAGUUGGGCUCUUCCAUUUAACUCUUCAAGCCUUUGAGAGUCAUUUUGUGACUUUUUAGAGUGUAGUUUGUGCCAUCUAUGUAACUUGGAGGAGUCAUUGUGAGUUUUUCGUUACUUCAAGGAUUUAAUUUUUUGAUUUAAGGAAAUGCCUACGUACACUCGUUUAACAACACUAUCAACAAAUCAAUGGUCAGGUUGAAGUUUCAAAUAAAAAAAUAAAAAAAAUUAUGGAGAAAACAAUUUUGAACUCCAGGAAGGAAUAAUCUUUGAAAUUAGUGACACAUUCUGGGCAUAUAGGAUAACAUUCAAGAUUUCCAUAGGCUUGACACCAUUCCAAUUAGUAUAUGGGGAAGCUUGCCACUUACUAGUUGAGUUGGAGCACAAAGCUUUCUAGGCUUUUAAGACCCUCAAUUUUGAUUUAAAAGUUGUUGGUAAGAAAAGAAAAUUGCAGAUGCUGGAACUUGAAGAACUGAGGUUGCAAGCUUAUGUCUCCACAAAAAUCUACAAAUAAAAAAUGAAGGCUUAUCAUGACAAGAAGAUCUUAAAGCAUGAAUUCAAGCCAAACCAAUUGGUCUUGUUCUUCAACUUCAGACUGAGGUUAUUCCUAGGGACUAAAAUCUAAAUGGUCUGGACCAUUCAUUGUGAAAUCAGUAAAACCAUAUGGAAAAGAGGAAACUCAUUUUAAUGGUUACUUUGUUGGUGGCCCUAAAAUGAAAAGUUGUUCAUGAUAUUCCUACUUCAAAAAAAAGGAAGGGUGUUGCAAUCACUUCCAUUAAGAGGAAGGAACCAAGUCUAUUGGUUAAAACUUCAAAAGACUCCUUAUCUAGUACUCUCAUUCCAUCAUCACCAAUAGCACAAUUGAGGCAUAAGAAUAAGACUUAGCCAUGCAACUACUUGAACUGCCAGCAUAGUUAGGGCUUCCACUCCUUCCUCAACAAUUUUUGCCACUCCUAUAUCACCUACAUCCACUCCUACGACAGGGGAACCCAUUGUUGCUACCCAUGAAUCAAUGGGACAUGAUAAGGUUUUAGACACAGUUCAAGCAUCAACGGUUUCUGGACCUAGAAGAAAGAUCAAUAUUGGCUAGAGAGCAAAUUUCAAAGGCCUAUGGAAAAUAGACAUUAGGGGAAGCUAGCAAAGCCUGAGAAUUACUACAAUGAACUCAUAGUUCAUGAUUUUUAUGGUAAUGCAUAUCCUCAUCAAAAUUUUGACAAGAACAUGUUUUUAUGGAUUAGAGGAAAGAAAGUACAUUAUGACUGGGAGAUAAUUAAGAGGUACCUGGAAAUCCCUAUGCUCUUAUGUUUGAUGAAGAAAGGACAGAGUUUCAUAACAUGACGAGAGAUGUCAUAGUGGACCAGCUGACUGAGCUUCUAUGUAUUCAGGGUUGAUCCUUCAAACUAGGCGAAGGUGGUUAGCCUUAGAGGCCUAAUAGUGGAAACAUGUGAAUCUUAAUACAAAUUUGGGUGACAUUUCUCUUCUCUAAUAUCCUCCCCAACUCCCAUGUCUUGAGAAUUACAUUUGACAAGGCAUAAUUGCUAUAUUGUAUCAUGCAAGGCUAUAUGCUGGAUAUUACAAACCUUAUAACUGAUGAUAUAUUCAAGACAACAAUCUUGUAGUGGACAAUUCAGGGGACAACUAGGGCAUUAAGAUAUUCAAACUUAAUAACAAGCCUAUGUAAGAUGAAAGGAGUGCUUAUUGCUGAUCAACCACGAAAGAAAUUGAGACUGCCAAUCAUAAUGCCUAUUUGGGUUAAUUGCGUGAAUCCUUUGGAUAACGUGGAAGCCUCUAUAUUCAGAAAUAAAUCACCAACGCCUCCUACCCUAGCACCAGAAUAGACUCCUCAACAACCAACAACACCUCCACAUGAUCACUUCCAUGAGCAGAAGGAAGCCAUCCACUCUAUCAUGACAUGAAUAUCAUAUAUGCAAUAACAACUUGCAAUUUUGAUGACCAUAGAGAGUCAAAGGAGAAAAAUUAGAAAUAUGGAGGAAUUCUAAGCAAAUCUCGGCAAAAAAACUAACUUUGGUGCUUUCGAAGCGGAAACUCAGGGAAUCUCAAGCAUUGGAUCUGAGACUGAGCCAUGAAGAAUCUUUCUCAUAGAAGUUAUCUAAAGAACUACAACACAAAAGCACAAGGCAUAAGCCACAAAAGAAACCCACCUUGGAAGGAAACCUUUGCAAUUGAAGCCAUGUUAUCACCAUUGAAGUCAUGCUCUGGAAAGUUUUUAAAAAUAGAGUAAUUCCUCUGUUUUGAGAGACUUCUGGACAGAUUCUAGAGAGAUACUUUAGAGAGUUUCUUAUACACUUUCUUCUAUUAAAGAACAUUAUUAGAGAGUUAGGAGAUGAGGUCUUUUCUUUGUAUUGAAUUUUUUCCAAGAGGAGCGAAAUCUCGUAAGUGUUGAAUUGAGAUAUAACCCUUUAAAAUUAUCUUGUAAUUGG
RNAcentral lists this small RNA (2593 nucleotides) under Vigna angularis var. angularis. RNAcentral's name for it is "Non-protein coding transcript". Lineage: Eukaryota; Viridiplantae; Streptophyta; Magnoliopsida; Fabales; Fabaceae. The record is from RNAcentral.